CGAAGAACACCUUCACAAGCGUGACACAUAUACGAACAACCCCCAAAUAUUGUCGUCCUGCAACAUUGGUAAACAGGUGGUGCAUGGUUGUCGUCAGCUCGUGUCGUGAGAUGUUGGGUUAAGUCCCGCAACGAGCGCAACCCUCGUUCUAUGUUGCCAGCACGUAAUGGUGGGAACUCAUAGGAGACUGCCGGGGUCAACUCGGAGGAAGGUGGGGAUGACGUCAAAUCAUCAUGCCCCUUAUGUCUUGGGCUUCACGCAUGCUACAAUGGCCGGUACAAAGGGCUGCAAUACCGUAAGGUGGAGCGAAUCCCAAAAAGCCGGUCUCAGUUCGGAUUGAGGUCUGCAACUCGACCUCAUGAAGUCGGAGUCGCUAGUAAUCGCAGAUCAGCAACGUGCGGUA
This 403-nucleotide ribosomal RNA is filed under the name Microbacteriaceae bacterium. RNAcentral describes it as "bacterial SSU rRNA". It matches the Rfam family "Bacterial small subunit ribosomal RNA", at positions 962 to 1363 of the family's 1533-position model. Lineage: Bacteria; Bacillati; Actinomycetota; Actinomycetes; Micrococcales; Microbacteriaceae. The record is from RNAcentral.